This is a long non-coding RNA of Populus nigra (black poplar), 600 nucleotides long. RefSeq lists it as uncharacterized. The record is from RefSeq and is a predicted model, not a curated record. Lineage: Eukaryota; Viridiplantae; Streptophyta; Magnoliopsida; Malpighiales; Salicaceae. The transcript is spliced from 2 exons.
CAAGUGUUCAUGUAACAUUUCAAUUUCAAAGAAUGCAGACUGAGAUGAGAACGGGCAUACCUGCUUCCGGAGACGAUGAAGAUGGCUGCAGUUGAUUCUGACUCUGGGUUGAUCAAUGCUUGCAGUUUCUCUGUUUUCCCUUGUUCACUUUGCUUGCGUUCUGGGGACGAAGGCAACGCUGGCUUUUGCUCUCUUCUCCUUUGUCUUUUUAGUCAGUCUCUCCCUAUUUCCAGUGUUCUCCCCCCUAUGUUUUUUUCCUGUUUCCGUUCGUGCUCUCCCUUUUUUUUUUCUCUAAGGCCAGAGAGUGUCAGUGAUCGUUAACAGUCCUGCACUUGCAGGACUGUAGUGGAUUCGGAGACGGGAUCGUGGGCAGGAGACGUGGUCCAUGAUUGGAUCGAAUUUGCUGUAGAUUUCCCUGUUGAAUCGGCUUUCUCCGCGUGAAACGAAAGGGAUAAUGAACAGUGCUUCAAAACGGCGCCGUUUAUGUCCUUGGGAAUGACUAUCUUCACCUUGGCCCCUAAACGUUUUAAAUUUAACAAUUGGUAUCCUAAUCAGUAAUAAUCAAUUUCUAAUUUUGCCCCUGGAUUAAUUUCAAUUGAA